RNAcentral lists this ribosomal RNA (840 nucleotides) under Triticum aestivum (bread wheat). RNAcentral's name for it is "partial small subunit ribosomal RNA". Lineage: Eukaryota; Viridiplantae; Streptophyta; Magnoliopsida; Poales; Poaceae. The record is from RNAcentral.
AUGUUUGUAGAUGUGCAUGUCUCCAAGAUAAAGAAAGCAAAGGCAAUUGUGAGAAGAAGAGUUAGAGAAGCAAUGCAUGAAGAAUAUGCUAGGGUUUUUGAUUAUCAACUAGAAAUAUUGAGGAGCAAUCCAGGUAGCACUGUUGCAGUAGUGCUAAAUCCAAAGGAAAGUGCCCCUGUUUUUCAGAGAUUAUAUGUGUGUUUCCAUGCCUGCAAAAGAGGUUUCAUAGAAGGUUGCAGAAAAGUUGUAGGAUUGGAUGGUUGCUUCUUUAAAGGAGCCCAGAGUGGAGAACUGUUGUGUGCUCUUGGGAGAGAUGCCAAUGGGCAAAUGUAUCCAAUAGCCCGGGCUGCUGUAGAGGUUGAGAACAAAGACUCUUGGUUCUGGUUUAUGGCCCUGCUAAACAAAGACUUGGAAAUUGAAAAUCAAGGAGAAGGGUGGGUCUUUAUAUCAGAUCAACAAAAAGGCCUCAUCAAUGCUGUGUCCAAGGUUGUUCCAAAUGCUGAGCAUAGGAAUUGUGCUAGGCAUAUCUAUGCUAAUUGGAAGAAAAAGCAUAGAGAUCAAGCAUAUCAGAAAAGAUUUUGGGCUUGUGCAAAAUCUUCAAACAGGAUACACUUCAACUUGAACAGGGCCAAACUUGCUCAACUCACACCAGAUGGAGCAAGAGACAUGAUGCAAUCAGGCCCAGAAUAUUGGUGUAGAGCUUGGUUCAAAGAAGGUUCAUGUUGUGAUUCUGUGGAUAAUAACAUGUGUGAGAGUUUUAACAACUGGAUAGUAGAGUACAGAGGGUUGCCUAUUAUCAGCAUGUUUGAAGCAAUUAGAGCAAAGGUCAUUGUAAGAAUU